Molecule: ribosomal RNA, 468 nt
Filed under: uncultured bacterium
Lineage: Bacteria
Description: partial 16S ribosomal RNA
Rfam family: Bacterial small subunit ribosomal RNA
Source: RNAcentral
GACGAACGCUGGCGGCGUGCUUAACACAUGCAAGUCGAACGGGAAGGCCCUGCUUUUGUGGCGGGCUCGAGUGGCGAACGGGUGGGUAACACGUGAGUAGCCUGACCUUGACUUUGGGAUAACUUCAGGAAACUGGGGCUAAUACCGGAUAGGAGCUCCUGCUGCAGGGUGGGGGCUGGAAAGUUUCGGCGGUGGGGGAUGGACUCGCGGCUUAUCAGCCUGUUGGUGGGGUAGUGGCUUACCAAGGCUUUGACGGGUAGCCGGCCUGAGAGGGGGACGGGCAACAGUGGGGCUGAGAUACGGCGCAGACUCCUACGGGAGGCAGCAGUGGGGAAUAUUGCACAAUGGGGGGAGGCCGGAUGCAGCAGCGCCGCGUGCUGGAUGACGGCCUUCGGGUUGUAAACCGCUUUCGCCUGCGACGAAGCGGGAGUGACGGUAAUGGGUAAAGAAGCACCGGCUAACUACGUG